Chiloscyllium plagiosum (whitespotted bambooshark) is the source of this 261-nucleotide non-coding RNA. NCBI's taxonomy places the organism in Eukaryota, Metazoa, Chordata, Chondrichthyes, Orectolobiformes, Hemiscylliidae. The record is from RefSeq and is a predicted model, not a curated record.
CUACCCUAUUCAAUGAGAGUAAAAUUAAUGCAACAUUUUCACAUUGCAAAGUUGUUUCCUUCAGUUUGGCAAAUGGUGGCAGCACCAGUGUGUAUGCAAUCUGUACAUUUAGAAAUGAUUCCACCGCUGAGGAGAUUGAUAAAGUUACUGUGUACCGUGAAUUCAGAGACAACACAAAGAACAUCUCUACCUUAGGAAACUAUUCGCUGGACAACAACAGCCUUUACGUAAAUGGUUAUCAUGAAUCAGCAUUUUUCCCAA